GACAGAGGGUGCAAACGUUGUUCGGAAUUACUGGGCGUAAAGCGUGCGUAGUCGGUUAUCUAAGUCGGGUGUGAAAUCCCCGGGCUCAACCUGGGAAUUGCAUUCGAUACUGGAUAGCUAGAGUUCGGCAGAGGGAAGCGGAAUUUCGGGUGUAGCGGUGAAAUGCGUAGAUAUCCGAAGGAACAUCAGUGGCGAAAGCGGCUUCCUGGACCAGAACUGACGAUCAGGCACGAAAGCGUGGGGAGCAAACAGG
This 253-nucleotide ribosomal RNA is filed under the name uncultured bacterium. RNAcentral describes it as "partial 16S ribosomal RNA". It matches the Rfam family "Bacterial small subunit ribosomal RNA", at positions 524 to 776 of the family's 1533-position model. The record is from RNAcentral.